AACGUGACUCGGCAAUACUCUAGGAAGAUGUGGAGCUACCAACCAAGAGUUGAUAUCUGGAGGCAGCCUACAGAGGAUGGUCCUCACCUCGCCUAUCUACACCUGCGUGGCAUGAAACACAGCACCCCAAGAAAAGGGACGUCAGUACGAAGAAUGUACCGAGUAUGUAAGGCAGAAAUGAAACGUAAUAAUAAUGAGAUACUAUCUCGGAGAGAGAUAAGAGUCAACUUAUAACUUUUGACCUGCCGCUGAGGGCCGUAACAUGUAGAAUAUAACCCAUUCGUAUAUAUAAAUUAAACUAUGAUAUAGUAGUUCUGAUUACACCAUUCUUGUGGCUUUAACUGCCCAACUGAUCAGUGGUAACUGCCCGACCGGCCGUAACACAGUGGUAAAUACAUGACUGCCCGAUCGGCCGUAGCUUGGUGAUAAAUGCAUGACUGCCCGAUCGGCCGUAGCUCGGUGGUAAAUAUGUAACUGCCCAACCAGCCGUAGCUCGGUGAUAAAUGUAUGACUGUCUGACCGGUGAUAAAUAAUGAUACAUAAUUGCCUAACCGGUGGUAACUGCCCGACCGGCUGUAUCAUAGUGGUAAAUGCAUAUCUGCCAACCCCUAAUAGAGAACAAUUCAUGCCAAAGCUCCCUUUUUUUUCUACCAGAAGGAUAGUAGUCAUCCAAAGAUCAACUCCUUCAAUAAAACAAUAGCUGCGUAGACCCAUCAAUUUAUUAACGUUACAUAUCCAUAUUUUCUUGUGUUACUGGAAACAUGACUUAGAACUAGAGUUACUUUUACUUACUUUUGCCAACAAUCUCGCUGGCUCUAAAAGCUUCAGUCAUAAAAAGUAAAAUACAAGGUUAGAUAACAAGCUUUUAUCUUUGGCAGCAUUCUUUGGCUGGAACAUUACAUCUACAUGUAGAUAGUUGUUAUCUUUUAAUCUCUCCUAAUAAAGUAAUGACACCCGUACUUGCAAUGCAAUACUUAUUCAGCUAUUGAAGUAUAAUUCAGUCUCAAAACGUUGGCUGAGUAGACUAUCCGCUCACAAGAACUAAGAAGAGAUUCACGUAAAUAAUGUAAUUGAAUAACGUAGAUAUCCUUAACUGCUAAGAAUAGAACUAUUUAUGGAUUAUCAUUGCGUUUACGUAUCGUUACUUACAUCAUGCCAAAAGAAAGAAGAACUAGCCUUAACAUACCUGAGUUGAUUCUCUUAAAAAGAUUGCACCGUGUUAAGCAUCGAGCAACCAACUAUCCUUGGUACACUGACAGAGGAACGAAAUUUACUCUUCACGGGCAGUUGAGUAACAUUAUUGGUUACCCAAAGUUGGAGGACUCAUAGAUGAGUUUAUUAUAAUUGAAUAAUAGCACACUACUAUCUUUUAAGUUGGAUUGAAAAGUACAGCAAUGCAAGAAAAGAAGUUGAAGAUUCAACAACUCCCUUAAAAGUAUGCUUGUUUUUGAAAUUAUUAAUUAUUAAGUAAAAAAUAA
RNAcentral lists this long non-coding RNA (1478 nucleotides) under Nicotiana tabacum (common tobacco). RNAcentral describes it as "long non-coding RNA (NTAB_LNC002151)". The record is from RNAcentral. Lineage: Eukaryota; Viridiplantae; Streptophyta; Magnoliopsida; Solanales; Solanaceae.